AACAUGGUGUGUGGUGUCACACAGAAGAUCAUGUUAUUAGUUCCUUAUAAAUUAUAAAUAGUAGCUCACAAUCAAGAUGGAUUGGGACAAACCAUUGGAAUGGUUGUAGUGUAAGAUAUGUACACUAGUAGUCUCUUAACAUUUUCCGUGUCUAGUGAUUUUGUUUGUUUCAUUGUUUCAGGUGAGACCAAGAUAUGUAUACAGUAACCAUGGAUCCAUUUGAGGCUUUGUUGAUUGAGAGAGCUGAACUUGACGAUAAUGAUAACAUGAGGAAGGGCACUUAAAUUGACUCCAAUUGGCAUGUGAUUAAGGCCAACAAGCUUGGUUCAUACAACAAAUGGAGAAGCUCAAGUCCUACUCAAUUCAACCCAUUCCAAGGAUCUUAACCCAAGCCAAAUCCACCUCACUAAAACCCUAAAUUCCCCACUAAACCAAACCUAAACCCAAUUCAAGGUCCGGUUCAAAAUCUGGUAUAAAAACCCAGAUUUCGCGGAUGAACAGUGGCUUGCGCUACUGUUCAUCCGCGACAUCUUCUUCAUCGCGCGCCCCUUCUCCACUUCGAGAUCUAUCUUCCGGCUGAUUUCAUCGGCGACGAGGUUCCCAGUGAUUGGCGAUCAAUUCCAUCCAUCCGAUCUCGCUUAAAGGCGUUCCUGCGGUGACAAUCGAUUCUGUAUGCUCUAUUUUCGCCAUUGAACAGAGGCGUUCCUCCGUUUCAGCGAUUUCGCCCACAACAGUGUCAUCGGCGGCGUUCUUCCGGUGGCUCUAGAUCCCUUCCGAAGACUUUCCAUUCUCCAACAGUGCCUCAUCAUAUCAGAACCACAGAGUGUCAGAAUUGCAGAUUUGGAAUGGAUGUGGCAGUUUGUUCUUCACAACUUCGCGAAGAGGUUUUCUUUGCGCGAUUUAUGGUGAGAUCGAACUGAGUUUAGUUGUUGAGAUCUUCUUCUUCGAUUGCUAAAGUGAGGUUUCACCAAGCUUCCUUGUGUGACAGCAAGGAGAAGUUGCUGUGUAGUGUGGUUUGGAUGAGGAGAUUGUUAUCUUUGUUUCUUGCAUUUCUUUAAUUCUAGAAUAGAUUUCUUCUAUGUUUGUUAUGUUCUCAUUCAGUAAUCCAGCACUUCUUAAUUUUGUUGAA
This is a long non-coding RNA of Zingiber officinale, 1129 nucleotides long. RefSeq lists it as uncharacterized. The transcript has 2 exons. The record is from RefSeq and is a predicted model, not a curated record. NCBI's taxonomy places the organism in Eukaryota, Viridiplantae, Streptophyta, Magnoliopsida, Zingiberales, Zingiberaceae.